UUUGACCCUACAGAAAAUUGGAGAACAAACUAAAUUAAUGAGGGGGGACAACUUAUAGUUUAGUCAAGUUAAAACUAAAAGUCAAUGGGGAACUCAAUCGACUGAUUAUAAAGCCUGCAAAAGUGGCAGAAUGAAUGAUCGAGUUGAAGCAAACCAAACACACGAGCCUCAUACACUUUAACAGUACCGGCUGCACAAUCCAGGGCCUCGAAUGUCAUAUAGAGAAUAUAACCACUGCCUCACGGUUCAUAAUUUGGCUUCAGAAGUCGGGAUUGCAUAUCAACGUGCACUGAGAGGCAAGAAAGAUCAUCAGUUAUUAUUCUUAUGAUUGGUGAGCCCAGCCUCAGUUUCAAUUUUCACUAACCAGCCAAAAGAGAUAUCAUCACAGUUGAACUGGGAUUUGAAUUGCUAUGAGCAACUAUGCAUGUACAGUUAAGGUACAGCGAUUAAUGUUGGGCCCGAGUAGAAUUAAACAAGCAAUCAACACAAAAGAAUGAAGUGAACAGAUGCCAGCGCAGUGUGUAAAAUAAAAAUAAAACAAAAAAACAUCAGCCGACAAGCCUGAGAUAACCUGGUAGGCACGGCAAUUAGCAACAGCAAGGUGAAGAAAAUGGUUGUAGUGGACAGGGUCGAUUUGGCCAGGUCGAGCCGGUUGAAUUAGGUGGCCAACGGCAUGAGAGAAGUCAUCAACAUCGAAGCCCUAGAUUUUAAGCCAAUCAGAACAAAGGGGAGGAUGAGAAAAUCCCUUUAGGAGGAGAACGAGCCACGAGAAAGAAGUGCUUGCAUUCAUUCACUGAUUAGUUAUAUAUUACUUACCUGGCUUUUCUUCAACUUAGCUGAGUAGGACUGCAUCUCUUUGGGCGUCAACCCGGGGAAGAUCGGGUGGUGGCAGUCGAUUCAUGAGAAAGUAAUGAAUAGGUCAGUGCACAUACAACUAAAAUUUGACCCUGGCUUACUAAUGUGAUGAUCAUCAUGGCAGCUAGCGGAGCGGAAUUCUUCUCUAAUUUUACAGAUCUAGAAAUUAAGCUCGAGGAAGGAAGGCUGCGCUACGUAUACACUGAUUCGAUAUUUUGAGGUUAUAACCGGUGCAAGAGCCGGACUUUGUUUUUCACUAAAGGAGGAGAUAUACCUAAGCUACAUGAAAAACAGGUGACCAUACCCUACUUUGCCAUCGAAUAAGUUUUCUAUAUUCCACCUGCAAACUACAUAUUAUAUAUACUUCUAAUCGGGAAUGGAAGUGAAUGAAAAUUUGCAGCAGGAAAAGAAUGAAUCUUAGAUUCGAGCGGGCACAAGCAGGCAGGCAGUCAUUCAGUCGAAUUAAAACAGAAGCAGCCAUAAUCAGCCAAACACAUCAUUGAAUUAUUGCUUGUAGAAACACGAAGCACAACUUUUGACCCAAAAUAUAUCAUUGGAUUACAUCUCGAAUUUCCGUUUCCUUUCAUCCAAAUAUCAUCAGUUAAGUUAUAGCAGCUCACUGAUUGCCCAAGCUGGCAUUUCUCCUCCUUCUUUAAUCUUUGAUGCAAGUUAAAAUCAAGCUCUUGAUCGGCACUGAUACAUCUGUAUAGGCAUAUAUGGUGCAUUUUCUACUAGCUUAUUAUGAUGGAGACAAGGAAGAAAUUGAAAGCAUCUGCAAAAUUGGCACCGGUUUCGCUGAAGCAAUGCUUUGAAGAAAGAUCUGCCAGUCUUCGCUCCAAAGUUAGUUAUCCCUAAGCCAAAGCCAUACUUUCGUUAUUCAUAUACACUCAGCCCAGAUGUGUGGUUCGAGCCCACUGAGGUUUGGGAGGUGAAAGCCGCAGAUUUAACUAUUAGCCCUGUUCAUCGUGCUGCAGUGGGCAUUGUAGAUUUGAGAAGGUUUGCUCAUCUCAGUGAUGCCCAGAAUGUUAUUGCUUUAAUAACCGAUGUGUAUCUGCACUUUUCAUGGUUUCUGCAGUCAGAGAUCUAUAACUUGUUGGGUUGCUUUGGAUACUUUAUAGUUUCAUCAACUUUUAUUUCUGGAAAAGGGUCUCUCUCAGCUUACCUCGUCUGCUUCGCUUCCGGGAAGACGAAGCGCCUGAGCAAGAAACCUCUUCAGAACAAAUUGCAGAACUGUAUAUUGCUCAAAAGCACACUCACAAGAAUAAUCAAGAUGACGAUGAAGAGGAAUGAAAGGCAAGGCCCUCAUUGUUCUAACUAGACAUAUAAUAGUCUAAGUAAAGUUGCGUAAAAAUAUUUUAACCAUGAAGAGUCUAUGAUAGAUCCGAGCUUGCAGCCCCAUGCCGCGCAUUCAACGUGCCAGUUUAUGCAUGGCAUCUCUUGAGUGAUGUUGGACUCGGAAUUAAAGAUUGCCUCUACUUACUCAUGUAGGUCGAAUUUGUGCUGUCUUGAUUACUACUGAGAAAUAUGGUCUGGUUCAUGAGCUCCCUUAUUUUCAGGAACAACCCCGAGCUCAUGAAGUUUUUUCAGCUUGGAGAAGGCUCGUAUUCAGUUGUCUGUACUUGAAACGGAUCUCACUUUUCAAAGAGAAAUUUGGGUUGCUUAUCAUAGUGGUCAUUUUUGGUCUAUGUUCCUCUUAUGUUGAAGGGAUGAGCCUGAAACACUGUUAUAUUGAACCAUUUACUCAUCUUAUGAAUUACAAGACGUUUUCUUGUGGCAAGU
Punica granatum (pomegranate) is the source of this 2634-nucleotide non-coding RNA. The record is from RefSeq and is a predicted model, not a curated record. NCBI's taxonomy places the organism in Eukaryota, Viridiplantae, Streptophyta, Magnoliopsida, Myrtales, Lythraceae.